GACACAGGCCAAUUGAGAUGAUUUUAUAAUCUAUACUUAAAGCAGAGGAACAGGUUAUAAACAUUCAAAUCCACGAAUCUAAUAAGCAAAUAAUAUAAGAAAUAAGAAAACUGCCAGAUUCCCCACCUUGAUUCAAUUCAAAAUACAUUUAGCACAAUUUAGAAGCAGACAUUCCAGCAACGUAGAAACAAAGAGUUCUAGAACACAGCUCCUCAGGGAAGUUGCAAUUCACUGCAGAAUAGAAGGCCAGAGUAGAGUAACUGAUGCAAGGCAGAAUACGGUCAGCAGUGUGACAGUUUCUCGAAGGCAAGAAGGAGAAAGACAGCCAUGAAUCCUCACUUUCACAGAAUCAGUGAAGAGAAGACAGGCAACAUAUGCCACUGGGGUAGAGUCCACAUCAUGAUCUAAACAUAUACUUGACUGAGGAGCUGGAAAAACUGAAGAAGGUGACCCAGUGGUUGCUGGAGGCUGCAUGCCUGGCUUUUAACUCCUGCCAACAUGGUAAGCCAGCAGACCUGUGACAGCACAUGCUAACUUCAACAGCACCUGAACCUACACCCACCUUCUAAACAUUAAAUGGCUUGUAGAAAUCUCUCAUGUAGUUAGUUCCAUCCCAGAACCACACACUAAGAAUUCCGAUAAAUGAAAUGAUGACAGCCAGAGUGAGGCCUAGUAAGAGAAGGACGGGGAGUGCUUGGAAAUAACUCUUGGUGAGUAUUGAGUCCCUGACUCCUAUUCAUCUCAGCCACAAUGAAU
Felis catus (domestic cat) is the source of this 756-nucleotide long non-coding RNA. RefSeq lists it as uncharacterized. The transcript has 3 exons. NCBI's taxonomy places the organism in Eukaryota, Metazoa, Chordata, Mammalia, Carnivora, Felidae. The record is from RefSeq and is a predicted model, not a curated record.